GUGUGACUGCGUACCUUUUGUAUAAUGGGUCAGCGACUUAUAUUCUGUAGCAAGGUUAACCGAAUAGGGGAGCCGGAGGGAAACCGAGUCUUAAUUGGGCGUUAAGUUGCAGGGUAUAGACCCGAAACCCGGUGAUCUAGCCAUGGGCAGGUUGAAGGUUGGGUAACACUAACUGGAGGACCGAACCGACUAAUGUUGAAAAAUUAGCGGAUGACCUGUGGCUGGGGGUGAAAGGCCAAUCAAACCGGGAGAUA
This 254-nucleotide ribosomal RNA is filed under the name Salmonella enterica subsp. enterica serovar Montevideo. RNAcentral describes it as "partial 23S ribosomal RNA". It matches the Rfam family "Bacterial large subunit ribosomal RNA", at positions 591 to 847 of the family's 2925-position model. Lineage: Bacteria; Pseudomonadati; Pseudomonadota; Gammaproteobacteria; Enterobacterales; Enterobacteriaceae. The record is from RNAcentral.